GAAAAUGACUUCCUGCUGAAGUGCAGGUCACGUGUUUAGUUAAGUCCCGCCCUAAAAUACACUAACCACGCCCACAGUCAGUCGUGACUGAAGUGACUGCUCAUUUACCGGUGUACUCAGCUUCAUCGUCCAUCUUGAACCCAUAUAACCAGCGAGAGCGGCGGCCGCGCGGCCAGAGCAAAGUCCGCUACGUGUUACAAGAGUUAAUGCAUAGAUAAGAGAGACAAGAUUGUGCUCAUACCUGGGGCUUCUAGGUCCCUGAGUUUUUUGGUCGGCCGUAUACCGGAUGCUAUCUCUGGUCCCUCAGCUAAGCCCCUGCUAUGCAAAGUGAUCAUGGUUCAUCAUGUGACUGCCGGUAGAAGCCGCGAUUGGGAUGUCCACUGUUCUGGCUCUGCUUCUAAACCCAGAGAAGUUAGGCUCUGUGAGAAGCCAGGGGACUCCAGCAUGGUGCUGGCUCAGGAU
Long non-coding RNA from Hyla sarda, 462 nucleotides. RefSeq lists it as uncharacterized. The record is from RefSeq and is a predicted model, not a curated record. Lineage: Eukaryota; Metazoa; Chordata; Amphibia; Anura; Hylidae. The transcript is spliced from 3 exons.